RNAcentral lists this transfer RNA (68 nucleotides) under Holothuria spinifera. RNAcentral describes it as "tRNA-Ala". The record is from RNAcentral. Lineage: Eukaryota; Metazoa; Echinodermata; Holothuroidea; Aspidochirotida; Holothuriidae.
GUGAUUUUAGUUUAAUUAAAACUUCUACCUUGCACGUAGAGAAUUCGGUUAUUUUACCGAAAAUCACA